Long non-coding RNA from Chinchilla lanigera (long-tailed chinchilla), 3010 nucleotides. RefSeq lists it as uncharacterized. Lineage: Eukaryota; Metazoa; Chordata; Mammalia; Rodentia; Chinchillidae. The record is from RefSeq and is a predicted model, not a curated record. The transcript is spliced from 3 exons.
AGCAGGGCUCAACCACAGGAUAAAUCACAGGCCAAUUUUCUGGGUGACAGCUGAGAUAAAUUAAACUUUUAUUUUUAAAUUAAAAACUAUCAAAUAAAUAAUGAUGGAGGAGAGUGUAAGAUGCUCAGAAUUGUCUUAGCUGAAAAUAGGAAUCUUCAAAGAAACCUGGGCUGUUUCCACACCUUUUCCUGGAGCGUACUUUGGGCCUGUGCACACGUGGGUGGCAGGAAGUAGGAGCUGCCCUACCCUGUGCUCUUGCCUGAAUGUUCUGUGCUGUCCUGACUCAACACAGUGGGCCCAAGGAAUCAUGGACUGAAACCUCAGAACCGUGAGCCUCCUUGACCCAUGGGGCCCUGAUUCUCUAUCUGCCGGGUUGCUGUGUGCUGUUGGUGGUCCUUCUGCUGUUUAGCAGUCCUUCUAGAAGGGACUUCUGAUGAGGUCGGUUCACCCAGCCUCUCAGUGGGCAGGUUCCCACUCUGAUAACUCCGGCUUCCCUCUCUGCCUCUCUGUUACUUCUGGCAAUUAUUUCUUCCAAGGCCACACUGUACAGGGAUGUAGAGAAAUGUGGCGGCCCCACGGGAUUGGUGGGACUCUUGCAGCCCACACUGUUGAACUUCAGGGUCUGGGAAGCUGAAGCCCCAUGGCUCGACACGAGAUGCUGCUCUGGGUGCUCGUGUUGAAUGAAGGCUUCUUCAGCCCAGAGGCUGUGUGGUCCAGCGAGGUCACACACCUGUCAGCCUACCCUGCCUCACCCAGACAAGACACUUCCGGACCCAGAACCAUGGGACAGAGAACUAUCUGAAUCCUCACAGCUGCUCUGAGGGGUAGGUGUGCCUGCCCCAUGGCCCAGCUGGAGAGACUGAGGUGGCCAAGUCACUUGUUAAUGAAUGAUGGAAAACAGGGCUUUCCAGGCCAGUUUUGCUCAGUGUGGCCGCUGAGGUGCCCAGGCCGCUGUCCUACUUUCCCCUGCCAUGCCUGGGGGAGUUGCCCUGGAGAGGGAGAACUGGAGCAGAGCUCUGGCUUUUGUUCUGUUAUAGCUCUUUUCCCCAGGAUGUCUUGGGCCACAGCCCUUUAUCUGGAUACUCAGAUCCUUACAGGCCCUGGACUGCAGAGCAGAGUUCUACCUGCAGAGGCUGGAACAAUGCCAGCAGGGUUUAUAUACAAUUCUAAGACCUGAUUAGAAAAACAUGUUUAAAAAAUGGAAGGAGAAGAAGCUACGCAUGCAAAAAAUGUGGGCUUCUCCUUGUGGGCCGCCUCUGCCUUUGGGUUCUAGGACUGUGCAGACCCAGACUGCCAGCCGGAGAUGAAAGGGGAUCUUUCAACAUUUCCACCUGUGGUCUGCACUUUCUCCCUGCUUGGUUACCAUUGGGCCUGCUAUGGAAUUUCACUCAUGCGGGGAUUCCCCUACCCCAAAAACAACUCAAACAGAAGAGCUGGCAUAGUCAGGCAGGAAAGGCUUGCAGCUACCUUCUUUUAUGUGACUUGGAAUGGUUCCUGCUUCUGACUGAGUAAGUUUGAGCUCCAGAAAGGAGAACACAUGAGCACACAGCGAAGCGAAGCUGGCCUCGGUGGGUAUGGGGGCUUGGACUCUACUGUUGGGGCCUUGGGAAGUCCACUGUGCCAUGGGAACCAGAAGAUCUGAGCUGAAUUUCUGAUUACUGUAGGACUAUUUGUAUGACUUUGAACAAAGUACUUCAUUUCUGUAACUGUCACCAAGCUCAUCAAAGCAAAUAGGAAUUCUGCCUAUAUUUUGUAUUUCUGUGAAAAUUUAAAAAGAUGAAGAGAUAAGAACAUGUGUCUUUUUCCUUCUUUCUCUCUCCUGGCACAUCCCUCUCACCUGUAUGGUCUGCAACAGGAAGGAAGCUUUGAGAUGGCUGUGUGAAAGACACAGGAAGACCCUAAAUCGGAAACUUUGAGUACUAGCAGCUCAACCUAACCGAUGAGGACUUGUGUGUUUGUUUGUAGGUAUAUUUUGAAGUAGUGAUUUUUAGAAGAAAAGACAACUUCAUGAGGGGAGGUAUGAAAGUUUUCCAUAUCCCUCCCAGCAUUAAGCAGAGUGAUAAGUAAGAUGAGUCUAUUGCUUUAUAAACUACCUGUUUUAUCCCAGGCGCUGUGUGAAUACGAUAUUGUAUAACGAACAACUGUUAUCCAAAUUUCCACAUAAGGAAUUAAGGCCUCAAGCUGUCCAGGAGUGGAGUGAAGAUUUUAAUCGUGCCAGUGAUUUUCAAACGCCCUUGUGCUCAUUGAUGCUUAUGGCACCCGUGCUCAUGGGUGUGUUCAUGAUUCUAAAUGGGGGGACCCCAAAUGGAAGAAGGUGGUCUUGACAUGCUGUCUGUUUGAACUUCAGGAAUGAUUUCUAAACCUGUAAAUGAAAAUACUAAUAGUUACCUGAAACUUUGGUAUGCUUACAUGAGACAUGUCCAGAAAGCACCUCAGAGUGUGCUUGCCCCGGGGGAUGGGAGGUUUCUCUUGUGACAGACUGAGAAUGCUGGACGGGUGGUUUGUGGGGAGCAGCUAAAGAGUUAGAGGGAGACCUAGAGAAAGUAGUGGAGGAUCAUGUGGAGCCUCCUCCAGGGGCUGCCACUGUCCCGAAGGCCUGAGGGUGAUCUGGGGACAGUCAUGGAACCAGCAGAAUGGGGUCAUGAAAGCAGAUAUGGCCUUCAGUAGAAGAGGGCAGUAGACCCAGAACUGCCUUCCAGAGGAGCUGCGGAGGGCCUUGUUCCCAGUUUCUGAUCCACUGGUGGUUGUACCAGCCAGACUUGGUAGGGAUCUGCAGCAGGAAGUCCAGUGGUGUCCUCCGCAUUGUCAGUGUCCUAGGGCAAAUAGUCAAUGCAGGAAGUGGGUCCAGGUGGGAAAACAGAAUGUCUAGUAGAGUGUUUCCUAAACACAGAACCCAGGUUCCACUCUGAAAUUGCUUACAGCCCAUUGGAAAGAUCCCACUUUCACUCAGGCUCACCCUAUAAAGUGGGGUGCUGCUAAUCUUUGAUAAAGCGGCCAAUCAAACUCACUG